RNAcentral lists this ribosomal RNA (560 nucleotides) under Cutaneotrichosporon dermatis. Its description in RNAcentral is "eukaryotic LSU rRNA". It matches the Rfam family "Eukaryotic large subunit ribosomal RNA", at positions 90 to 640 of the family's 3401-position model. The record is from RNAcentral. Lineage: Eukaryota; Fungi; Basidiomycota; Tremellomycetes; Trichosporonales; Trichosporonaceae.
CGAGUGAACCGGGAAAAGCUCAAAUUUGUAAUCUGGCUGUCUUCGAUAGUCCGAGUUGUAAUCUAUAGACGUGUUUUCCGUGCUGGACCGUAUCUAAGUCCCUUGGAACAGGGUAUCAAAGAGGGUGACAAUCCCGUGCUUGAUACGACCACCAGUGCUCUGUGAUACACGCUCUACGAGUCGAGUUGUUUGGGAAUGCAGCUCAAAAUGGGUGGUAAAUUCCAUCUAAAGCUAAAUAUUGGCGAGAGACCGAUAGCGAACAAGUACCGUGAGGGAAAGAUGAAAAGCACUUUGGAAAGAGAGUUAAACAGUACGUGAAAUUGUUGAAAGGGAAACGAUUGAAGUCAGUCGUGUUCUUUGGAUUCAGCUAGUUCUUCUAGUCUACUUCCAUUGAACGGGUCAACAUCAGUUUUGUCCGGUGGAUAAAGAUAGUAGGAAUGUAGCUCCCCCGGGAGUGUUAUAGACUAUUAUUGCAUACACUGGGUGAGACUGAGGACUGCAGCUCGCCUUUUGGCCGGUCUUCGGACACGUUCGAGCUUAGGAUGUUGACAUAAUGGCUU